Molecule: non-coding RNA, 29 nt
Filed under: Rattus norvegicus (Norway rat)
Lineage: Eukaryota; Metazoa; Chordata; Mammalia; Rodentia; Muridae
Source: RNAcentral
UGAACUCACAAAGAUUUGCUUAGCUCUGC